UGGUGGAGUGAUUUGUCUGGUUAAUUCCGUUAACGAACGAGACCUCAGCCUGCUAAAUAGUAACAUGCGCUCCGGCGCAUGGCGUACUUCUUAGAGGGACUAUUGGCGACUAGCCAAUGGAAGCAUGAGGCAAUAACA
RNAcentral lists this ribosomal RNA (138 nucleotides) under uncultured eukaryote. RNAcentral's name for it is "partial 18S ribosomal RNA". It matches the Rfam family "Eukaryotic small subunit ribosomal RNA", at positions 1299 to 1458 of the family's 1831-position model. The record is from RNAcentral.